Molecule: unclassified non-coding RNA, 158 nt
Filed under: uncultured Vertexicola
Lineage: Eukaryota; Fungi; Ascomycota; Sordariomycetes; Annulatascales; Annulatascaceae
Description: sequence contains ITS1
Source: RNAcentral
UAGAGUCUAAAACUCUCAAACCCGUGUUAAUUCUACCUUUUUUGUUGCUUCGGCGGGCAGUCCCAGGGCGGGGCCUUGCCUGUAUUUUGCAGGUGUCCGCCGAAAGCACCCUAAAAUUCGUUUUUUAUGGCUGUCUGAGUACAAAAAAAAAUAAGUCA